This is a long non-coding RNA of Nomascus leucogenys (northern white-cheeked gibbon), 735 nucleotides long. RefSeq lists it as uncharacterized. Lineage: Eukaryota; Metazoa; Chordata; Mammalia; Primates; Hylobatidae. The record is from RefSeq and is a predicted model, not a curated record. The transcript is spliced from 3 exons.
CGCAGGUCGAUUUUAUAGUGCUGUGUGGCAUGAAAAGGAAGCCUACACAUGACUCAGUGAGAAAGAAUGGACAGCCCAACAGAUCAACACCCACGGCCAAUGAUAUAUCAGAACACACUUCAUCACAGAUGACAGGAGGAAAGUGAAGUGGGAGGUGAAUGAUGUGCAAAGGACCAUGGAAUGUGGAACCUUACCCAGCCUGCUGCUCAGGAGGCGAUUGCUCAAGGCUGUCUUAUGUAGAGGGGUCAACAGUUGACCCACGAACCAUUUAAACUGGAAGGAAGAAUUAACCAAUACCCUGAGAGAUUGGCUACAACUACUUUUCCCUGAAAGUUAGAGUGCAGAGUGCAGGAGUGGAAGGCCAUUUACUAAUUUUCCUGUUUCCUUCACCAGUCCUCUACCUCUCUGUAGCUAAGGUCCUUCACUCAAUAUACUCAAGUCGUCUCUGCUAUGACUGCAUUCCCACAUGCCACGGCAUAUAAAAGCCUGUGAAGAAAAAACCAACACCGAGAAUUUUUUCCAUCCCUCACCUUUCCUUUGAGAACUCAACAACCCAAGCAACAUGGACCUUUUCCCAAAUACCAUUUAGGAGAAGUCACUGGCAGUUUAAGAAAAAGAUUUUUUAAAAAAGUUUCAGGGUGAGACAUCUUGCAACAUAAACUUUAAACUUCAUUCUUAGCAUCAAAGCAGCAAUAUUUUUGUGUGAGUACUUAUUUUUAAUAAACUUGACUUUUU